RNAcentral lists this ribosomal RNA (456 nucleotides) under uncultured bacterium. RNAcentral describes it as "bacterial SSU rRNA". It matches the Rfam family "Bacterial small subunit ribosomal RNA", at positions 33 to 507 of the family's 1533-position model. The record is from RNAcentral.
ACGCUGGCGGCGUGCCUAACACAUGCAAGUCGAGCGAAUGAAGUUCCUUCGGGAACGGAUUUAGCGGCGGACGGGUGAGUAACACGUGGGCAACCUACUCAUAGAGGGAAUAGCCUUCCGAAAGGGAGAUUAAUACCGCAUAAGAUUGUAGUACCGCAUGGUACAGCAAUUAAAGGAGCAAUCCGCUAUGAGAUGGGCCCGCGGCGCAUUAGCUAGUUGGUGAGGUAACGGCUCACCAAGGCGACGAUGCGUAGCCGACCUGAGAGGGUGAUCGGCCACAUUGGGACUGAGACACGGCCCAGACUCCUACGGGAGGCAGCAGUGGGGAAUAUUGCACAAUGGGGAAACCCUGAUGCAGCAACGCCGCGUGAGUGAUGACGGCCUUCGGGUUGUAAAGCUCUGUCUUCAGGGACGAUAAUGACGGUACCUGAGGAGGAAGCCACGGCUAACUACGUG